AACGAACGCUGGCGGCAGGCCUAACACAUGCAAGUCGAGCGCUCACUUCGGUGGGAGCGGCGGACGGGUUAGUAACGCGUGGGAACGUGCCCUUCUCUACGGAAUAGCCAUUGGAAACGAUGAGUAAUACCGUAUACGCCCUUCGGGGAAAGAUUUAUCGGAGAAGGAUCGGCCCGCGUUAGAUUAGAUAGUUGGUGGGGUAACGGCCUACCAAGUCUACGAUCUAUAGCUGGUUUUAGAGGAUGAUCAGCAACACUGGGACUGAGACACGGCCCAGACUCCUACGGGAGGCAGCAGUGGGGAAUCUUAGACAAUGGGGGAAACCCUGAUCCAGCCAUGCCGCGUGAGUGAUGAAGGCCCUAGGGUCUAAAGCCUUUCCUGUGAAGAUAAUGACGGUAGC
This 400-nucleotide ribosomal RNA is filed under the name uncultured bacterium. Its description in RNAcentral is "bacterial SSU rRNA". It matches the Rfam family "Bacterial small subunit ribosomal RNA", at positions 29 to 479 of the family's 1533-position model. The record is from RNAcentral.